This 429-nucleotide ribosomal RNA is filed under the name Chloroflexota bacterium. Its description in RNAcentral is "Chloroflexi bacterium partial 16S ribosomal RNA". It matches the Rfam family "Bacterial small subunit ribosomal RNA", at positions 355 to 776 of the family's 1533-position model. The record is from RNAcentral. Lineage: Bacteria; Bacillati; Chloroflexota.
UGGGGAAUAUUGCACAAUGGGCGCAAGCCUGAUGCAGCCAUGCCGUGUGUAUGAAGAAGGCCUUCGGGUUGUAAAGCACUUUCAGUCGGGAGGAAGGUGUCAAGGUUAAUAACCUUGGCAAUUGACGUUACCGACAGAAGAAGCACCGGCUAACUCCGUGCCAGCAGCCGCGGUAAUACGGAGGGUGCAAGCGUUAAUCGGAAUUACUGGGCGUAAAGCGCACGCAGGCGGUUGAUUGAGUCAGAUGUGAAAUCCCCGGGCUUAACCCGGGAAUUGCAUCUGAUACUGGGCAGCUAGAGUCUUGUAGAGGGGGGUAGAAUUCCAUGUGUAGCGGUGAAAUGCGUAGAGAUGUGGGGGAAUACCGGUGGCGAAGGCGGCCCCCUGGACAAAGACUGACACUCAGGUGCGAAAGCGUGGGGAGCAAACAGG